GGUCCCGUAGCUCAGCUGGUCAGAGCGUCGUACUAAUAAUUUUCAAUGGAGAAUGAUUACGUAAUAAUGCGAAGGUCGCGGGUUCGAUCCCCUCCGGGACCA
This is a non-coding RNA of Gnomoniopsis sp. IMI 355080, 102 nucleotides long. NCBI's taxonomy places the organism in Eukaryota, Fungi, Ascomycota, Sordariomycetes, Diaporthales, Gnomoniaceae. The record is from the annotation of a GenBank genome assembly.